RNAcentral lists this ribosomal RNA (444 nucleotides) under uncultured bacterium. Its description in RNAcentral is "bacterial SSU rRNA". It matches the Rfam family "Bacterial small subunit ribosomal RNA", at positions 331 to 792 of the family's 1533-position model. The record is from RNAcentral.
CCAGACUCCUACGGGAGGCAGCAGUGGGGAAUAUUGCACAAUGGGGGGAACCCUGAUGCAGCAAUGCCGCGUGGGUGAAGAAGCACUCCAGUGCGUAAAGCCCUGUCAGCAGGGAAGAAAAUGACAGUACCUGACCAAGAAGCCCCGGCUAACUACGUGCCAGCAGCCGCGGUAAUACGUAGGGGGCAAGCGUUAUCCGGAUUUACUGGGUGUAAAGGGAGCGCAGGCGGCGUGGCAAGUCAGAUGUGAAAACCCGGGGCCCAACCCCGGGAGUGCAUUUGAAACUGCCAUGCUGGAGUGCCGGAGAGGUAAGCGGAAUUCCUAGUGUAGCGGUGAAAUGCGUAGAUAUUAGGAGGAACACCAGUGGCGGAGGCGGCUUACUGGACGGUAACUGACGCUGAGGCUCGAAAGCGUGGGGAGCAAACAGGAUUAGAUACCCCGGUA